This 253-nucleotide ribosomal RNA is filed under the name uncultured bacterium. Its description in RNAcentral is "partial 16S ribosomal RNA". It matches the Rfam family "Bacterial small subunit ribosomal RNA", at positions 524 to 776 of the family's 1533-position model. The record is from RNAcentral.
UACGUAGGGGGCAAGCGUUGUCCGGAAUUAUUGGGCGUAAAGAGCGCGUAGGCGGUCCGAUAAGUCGGCUGUGAAAGUCAGGGGCUCAACCCUUGAAAGCCGGCCGAUACUGUCGGACUAGAGUGCGGAAGAGGCGAGUGGAAUUCCUGGUGUAGCGGUGAAAUGCGCAGAUAUCAGGAGGAACACCUAUUGCGAAGGCAGCUCGCUGGGACGUUACUGACGCUGAGACGCGAAAGCGUGGGGAGCAAACAGG